UUCAUUUCUUAUAUUUACAUUAUAUUUCCUUUCCAUUUGUAAACUAUAUAAUAUUAUACAUUGAAUAUAAUUUGUAGCAUUUAACAUUAAAAUCAGCUUCCCGGCCAUUCUGUUCACCAGACGGAACAACUGCGACGUCAUCUAAAGAACGUUCUCCCUGACUAUACGCGGACGUCGUCAAAACAGCGGUCGGUUAUCACUAAGCAGCGAUGACGUAACUUUCGUGCCUUUCCUUUUGCUGUUCAUACGAAAUGAACGUCAAAAGUUUCAAUGGAGAAGGAUAGGGUGAAUGUCCACCUCUAGUGGUUGAAACAAAACAGAAGCAGAACACUGAAUGUGAUACGGAUUACUCCUUCAAUGCUACUUUUGAUCAAGAUGGACAGACAAAAGGUUUUUUUUGAUAUCCGAAACACCACUGAAGUUGCUCUCAGAAACAUUUCUGGAAAUUAAACUCAUUUUUCUGAAGGUCAGAGAUCCUAACCAUUUUGACAUCACUCACUGCAAAGUACAUGCAAUAAAUGUUUCUACUAAAAUAACAAAAACUUGCAUUUACAAUUAAAAAAAAAAACAGAUGUUACCCGCGUUUGCGUAGAUGUGUAUAAAAUUGGACAGGGUAAUUCACGUAUGCAUGUUAUAUACUUACAAUAUCAGUAACAUAAUAAAACUUGUAUAGAUAACUUAUCCGGCCUUUCAUUGGAUACAUGUUUUAUUGCCAAUGAAUAUAACUAAAAUCGUAUGUCAACGGUGUCUUUUGUAUUGCUCCUGUCUUUAGCAACAUGGAACCGGGCAUUGUAGCUGUCAUUUCGCUAAUUUUAAAAUAGUUCUACAAAGUUUGUUACAAUGAGAACAAUAUUUUUGUGAACGUUUCAAGAUGUUUUAUUGAUUUUUUUUUUCAAAACUAUGAAAACGUUUGUGUCUGUAUUUACUACAGUUACUGAUUAAAUUCUAUCUAUGGAAAAAACUAA
Molecule: long non-coding RNA, 965 nt
Organism: Mercenaria mercenaria
Lineage: Eukaryota; Metazoa; Mollusca; Bivalvia; Venerida; Veneridae
Exons: 3
Source: RefSeq, a predicted model, not a curated record